CAGUAACAAUACAGAAGGUCAAAGGAAAUAUGCUGCAGAGAUCUACAGCAAGCAACUAUAUAUUAUAGAAAAUCAAUAUAGAAGAAAAUGGCUGUAGGAAGAGACAACAAAAAUAAAUUUAACAUAUUUUUUUCUGUUGUUUUAGUGAUUGGGGAGAAAUUCACAACCAGAGGAUUUUGUCUUCUCAUCUUGUAACCCAGAGGAUGAGAAGAUUCAAUAUCCACUUCUUUCUCUAAAAUCACCACAGUUCAAUUUCUACCAAAGCUUCAGGAAUUCCCACAUCCCUAUUAGAAGUGGAAGUAUCCAGGCUCAUCUAAAGUCUUUUUCUUUAGGCUGCAUCUGUGUAAAUACAGUCACAGACUAGACCUGUGUGUUGGUACCAGUUGGUCUGCUGCAGAUUGUCUCGCUGCUGCUCCCAACUGCACGCAAGGCUUCAGUAUUAGUGUAAGGCCUUUAGCUCUCGGACAAUCCUUCUCUCAAUUAUAUUUGAUUUUAUUAACAAUCAUAUUGAAUUAUAU
Molecule: long non-coding RNA, 518 nt
Filed under: Gallus gallus (chicken)
Lineage: Eukaryota; Metazoa; Chordata; Aves; Galliformes; Phasianidae
Description: lncRNA (ENSGALG00010013460.1)
Source: RNAcentral